GUGCCAGCCGCCGCGGUAAUACGCAGGGUGCAAGCGUUACUCGGAAUUACUGGGCGUAAAGCGUGCGUAGGUGGUUGUUUAAGUCUGUUGUGAAAGCCCUGGGCUCAACCUGGGAAUUGCAGUGGAUACUGGGCGACUAGAGUGUGGUAGAGGGUAGUGGAAUUCCUGGUGUAGCAGUGAAAUGCGUAGAGAUCAGGAGGAACAUCCAUGGCGAAGGCAGCUACCUGGACCAACACUGACACUGAGGCACGAAAGCGUGGGGAGCAAACAGGAUUAGAUACCCCAGUAGUCC
RNAcentral lists this ribosomal RNA (292 nucleotides) under uncultured prokaryote. RNAcentral's name for it is "partial 16S ribosomal RNA". It matches the Rfam family "Bacterial small subunit ribosomal RNA", at positions 505 to 796 of the family's 1533-position model. The record is from RNAcentral.